UAUAUAUUGUUGUAGAAGCAUAAAAGUUUUUGAUACUUUAGGAGAUAAUUUAUUAUUGUAUAUAA
This 65-nucleotide transfer RNA is filed under the name Setaphyes kielensis. RNAcentral describes it as "tRNA-Gln". The record is from RNAcentral. Lineage: Eukaryota; Metazoa; Kinorhyncha; Allomalorhagida; Pycnophyidae.